This 920-nucleotide long non-coding RNA is filed under the name Anser brachyrhynchus (Pink-footed goose). RNAcentral describes it as "lncRNA (ENSABRG00000015821.1)". Lineage: Eukaryota; Metazoa; Chordata; Aves; Anseriformes; Anatidae. The record is from RNAcentral.
GUUAAGGCAAAGGAGGUUUGGAUUUUAAUCUUCCCUCUGAUUUUUGCAUAGUUUUGGCACUUAUAUUUAACAACUCUGUUCUAGUUCCUAUCUCUGAACAAGGAGCUAGGUGUUAGAGUAAGCUUAUGCCAGUAAUGCUAACUAAGCACUUGUGAUCCUGAGAACAGAUGGAGAAAUGCAGCUGAGUGGCAUCAUAUGCAUUUUACUUGUUUCUCCUUUCCUCUUUACUCCUAGUCCCCACUAUCAAAAUUAAAGAUUACUGAAUCCACAUAGUCCUUUCCCAUUUAGGGCCAAUACCCAAUUUCUUCUGUAAUAUUUUCUAGUGCUUUAUCAGUCCAGUCUUAUAUGACUCAUAAAGCUUUCAUCACUUUCUUCAUGAGAUAAUUCAACAGUCUCCUAGACAACAUUACAGCAGUACAAAGGUCCUAAAAUUAAGCAAGAGAAGCUGUAUUCUAAUUUUUCCAUAAAGAAGUCCUGUGAACGAACCUGGCUCCACAACUUUUCUCUUUGAGUUUUUCAACUAAUGCCAGACGGUUAUCAAGCCUCUGUAUUAUAGCUAAAAUCUUCUUUAUCUAUUUCUUUAUUCUCACUGUCUUGUUUGAAUGCAAACGUGACUCAUGGUUAGAGUCAGAAGCUGAGUUCUAGCUGACACUGGACAAUUUUGAGUCUUGCUACACAGCCACUGAAGUGACCAAACAUUUCAAUUUAAUCCAGAUGCUGUCAGUUCUUUGUUGCAAGUUGCUAAUGCAGAGUUGAAACAUUUUUCUAACCACUCCAAUCUGAUAUCAUUUUUUUUCUCCAUUACCUGCCUAGGUCUUUCUCAUUCAAUAGCACCCUUCAUCUGGCAAAGUGAACCUUGUUGGACCAGCAGGUUAGAUUAAGCAUCAGGAGGAACAAUGCAGCAAAGAGCUCUGUAUGAC